Molecule: long non-coding RNA, 838 nt
Organism: Pipistrellus kuhlii (Kuhl's pipistrelle)
Lineage: Eukaryota; Metazoa; Chordata; Mammalia; Chiroptera; Vespertilionidae
Exons: 3
Source: RefSeq, a predicted model, not a curated record
UUUCUUUAAAAGUUCAGUAAAUAUAAACUCUAAGUUUCAAUAGAAAAUCUUUAGAAACACCUUAAAAUAAUUAAAACAGUAUUUUGCAUCUCUUUGUAAUCACUAUGCCCAGGAAGUUCAAAGCCAUACAAAUCCUUGUACUAUUAAGAGUAAUAAGCUUCUGUUACUUAGAAAACAUCCUUGGUUAAAGCAUUGGAAUCCAGUUCAUAUCAGGAAACGAGUGGGAUUUAGAAUACCCUGAGCAAUAAUAUCCAGACUCAUAUCACCAUUUUUAUAAACAUGUCAGUUGAAUUUUUGCUCCACUAAUUAUCCUUUUUAUAUUAUUUCCAUUUAAAUUUAUGUUUGCAAUUGUGGGUCUUUUAUAGCUGAAGAUCACAGGCAAGCCACACAGAGUUCUGAGCCAUCUUUUACACUUUUAUAAUUGGGCUUAUACCAAAUGGUCUAGUGUCUUAUUAUUGAUUAUUCAAGGGCUUUGGUCAUUCGUGGCAGCAAGACUUAAUGGUUUUUAGCCAGUGGUGCCACAGCCAGAUUUCACUGUAAUAUCUAAAGGGUCAAGUAGUGUUUUUGUACCACUAUAAUUUUAAAUGUGGGUAUUCUGCCAUGGAGCAAUCUGUACUGGGAUAAACCUGACAUGUGUAAUACUCAAUAUUAAGAUUUAUCUCUGCUUGGGAGCUCCUUAGAAUAAUGAGAGCUGCAAUGUUGACUCUUGUGUUCUUAGGAUUUAAAUGGCAUAGCUUUCUGAAAUGAUUUUGUCCAAGUUUAAUAGUACAAUGUAGGAGCUUUGUAACUUUAGUUUCAGUGUUUUUGUUUUGCUAAAAAAGUAUAUUUUAUAUAUACA